RNAcentral lists this ribosomal RNA (464 nucleotides) under uncultured bacterium. RNAcentral describes it as "bacterial SSU rRNA". It matches the Rfam family "Bacterial small subunit ribosomal RNA", at positions 355 to 825 of the family's 1533-position model. The record is from RNAcentral.
UGGGGAAUCUUGCGCAAUGGGCGAAAGCCUGACGCAGCGACGCCGCGUGGGGGAUGAAGGUCUUCGGAUUGUAAACCCCUUUCGGGAGGGAAGAUGGAAUGGGGUAACCCAUUCGGACGGUACCUCCAGAAGCAGCCACGGCUAACUUCGUGCCAGCAGCCGCGGUAAUACGAAGGUGGCAAGCGUUAUUCGGAUUUACUGGGCGUACAGGGAGCGUAGGCGGUUCGGUAAGCCCUCUGUGAAAUCUUCAGGCUUAACCUGGAAAAGUCGGAGGGGACUGCUGGGCUAGAGGACGGGAGAGGAGCGCGGAAUUCCCGGUGUAGCGGUGAAAUGCGUAGAGAUCGGGAGGAAGGCCGGUGGCGAAGGCGGCGCUCUGGAACGUUUCUGACGCUGAGGCUCGAAAGCGUGGGGAGCAAACAGGAUUAGAUACCCCCGUAGUCCCUGAGCGGGCUGGCAAGGCGCAU